UACGUAGGGCGCAAGCGUUAUCCGGAAUUAUUGGGCGUAAAGAGCUCGUAGGCGGUUUGUCGCGUCUGCCGUGAAAGUCCGGGGCUCAACUCCGGAUCUGCGGUGGGUACGGGCAGACUAGAGUGAUGUAGGGGAGACUGGAAUUCCUGGUGUAGCGGUGAAAUGCGCAGAUAUCAGGAGGAACACCGAUGGCGAAGGCGGAUCUCUGGGCAUUACCUGACGCUGAGGAGCGAAAGCAUGGGGAGCAAACAGG
This 253-nucleotide ribosomal RNA is filed under the name uncultured bacterium. RNAcentral's name for it is "partial 16S ribosomal RNA". It matches the Rfam family "Bacterial small subunit ribosomal RNA", at positions 524 to 776 of the family's 1533-position model. The record is from RNAcentral.